UUGAAAAGAAACUUUNGANAGAGAGUUCAAUAGUACGUGAAACCGUUUAGAGGUAAACGCGUAGAGUCGUAAAGUGGUCCGGGAAGAUUCAACCGUUCGAGCCUUGGCUUUGGCGGGGUGGCCCAUCGGAUGCUCAUUCGCACCGGCCCCGUCAAUCGCUGGCCUUGGUCGAUCGGCGCACUUUUUCCCGGGCAGCGUCACGACCGAUUCGCCGACGGUCAUAAGCUUUGUCGGAAGGUAUCUCGCGCCUCGGCGGGAGAGUUAUAGCCGGCGACAGCGUCGUCCGUUGGCGGAUCGAGGAAUGGCCGCACCCGCUUCUCUAAGCACGGGCCCCUGUUCCCCGUACGCCGUUCGACCUGGGCUGGACUGUAUACAGUGCUGUCCGACUGCGGUGUGCGUCGCGAUUCAGGUGCGCUCCCGAGUGGUGCAAAAGGUCGGUGGCGAUAUGGUCGGCAAUCUACGCGACCC
Molecule: ribosomal RNA, 468 nt
Filed under: Ascandra falcata
Lineage: Eukaryota; Metazoa; Porifera; Calcarea; Clathrinida; Leucaltidae
Description: eukaryotic LSU rRNA
Source: RNAcentral